Molecule: long non-coding RNA, 355 nt
Filed under: Olea europaea (common olive)
Lineage: Eukaryota; Viridiplantae; Streptophyta; Magnoliopsida; Lamiales; Oleaceae
Description: long non-coding RNA (OEUR_LNC002617)
Source: RNAcentral
GCAAGCCCUCCACUUCACUCCCCCCAUCUCACCUGGCCUCACGCCACUCAAAAUAGCCAUGGCCUCCAUCCAAACCGCGGUCGACCUCCCAAGCGCCGCCCAUAUUUCCGGCCACACCCAUUCUUCAAAUCAUCCACCAAAUAUCUCCACUCCCCUAGCCGACGACUCUUAUGGAGUAUUAUCAACUAAUUCAGCCAAGAUUCUCAAUGUUCAGAACGCAGGUACUUUCCAGACGGGAUUGUGUGAUAAUGCUGAUUCAAUUGGUGAUCCUCAUGUCUUGCAAGUGGAUAAUUCAACACCCAAUUAUUCAAUUGAGGGUGAAUUGGGACAAUUGAAACCAAAAACAUGUGCUAAG